RNAcentral lists this ribosomal RNA (253 nucleotides) under uncultured bacterium. Its description in RNAcentral is "partial 16S ribosomal RNA". It matches the Rfam family "Bacterial small subunit ribosomal RNA", at positions 524 to 776 of the family's 1533-position model. The record is from RNAcentral.
UACAGAGGGGGCAAGCGUUGUUCGGAAUUACUGGGCGUAAAGGGCGCGUAGGCGGCCUUCUAAGUCGAACGUGAAAUCCCUGGGCUCAACCCAGGAACUGCGUCCGAUACUGGCAGGCUUGAAUCCGGGAGAGGGAUGUGGAAUUCCAGGUGUAGCGGUGAAAUGCGUAGAUAUCUGGAGGAACACCGGUGGCGAAGGCGGCAUCCUGGACCGAGAUUGACGCUGAGGCGCGAAAGCCAGGGGAGCAAACGGG